This is a non-coding RNA of Podarcis lilfordi (Lilford's wall lizard), 79 nucleotides long. The record is from the annotation of a GenBank genome assembly. NCBI's taxonomy places the organism in Eukaryota, Metazoa, Chordata, Lepidosauria, Squamata, Lacertidae.
GUCAGCCUGGAUAGCUCAGUUGGUUAGAGCAUGGUGCUUAUAAUGCCAAGGUUGCAGGUUGGAUCAUCCGUAUGCGACA